AAAUUGAAGAGUUUGAUCAUGGCUCAGAUUGAACGCUGGCGGCAGGCCUAACACAUGCAAGUCGAACGGUAACAGGAAGC
Molecule: ribosomal RNA, 80 nt
Filed under: Escherichia coli
Lineage: Bacteria; Pseudomonadati; Pseudomonadota; Gammaproteobacteria; Enterobacterales; Enterobacteriaceae
Also listed under: 59 other names
Description: partial 16S ribosomal RNA
Rfam family: Bacterial small subunit ribosomal RNA
Source: RNAcentral